RNAcentral lists this ribosomal RNA (583 nucleotides) under Leptographium galeiforme. RNAcentral's name for it is "eukaryotic LSU rRNA". It matches the Rfam family "Eukaryotic large subunit ribosomal RNA", at positions 65 to 667 of the family's 3401-position model. Lineage: Eukaryota; Fungi; Ascomycota; Sordariomycetes; Ophiostomatales; Ophiostomataceae. The record is from RNAcentral.
CCAACAGGGAUUGCCCCAGUAACGGCGAGUGAAGCGGCAACAGCUCAGAUUUGGAAUCUGGCCCCCAGGGCCCGAGUUGUAAUCUGGAGAGGAUGCUUCUGGCGCGGCGCCUUCCGAGUUCCCUGGAACGGGACGCCGGAGAGGGUGAGAGCCCCGUACGGUCGGACGCCCAGCCUGUGUGAAGCUCCUUCGACGAGUCGAGUAGUUUGGGAAUGCUGCUCAAAAUGGGAGGUAAAUUUCUUCUAAAGCUAAAUAUUGGCCAGAGACCGAUAGCGCACAAGUAGAGUGAUCGAAAGAUGAAAAGCACUUUGAAAAGAGGGUCAAACAGUACGUGAAAUUGUUGAAAGGGAAGCGCCCGUGGCCAGACUUGCGCCCGGCGGUACCACCCGGCGCCACAGCGCCGGGGCAUUCCGCCGGGCGCAGGCCAGCAUCGGUUUUCCCAGGGGGACAAAGGUGGCGGGAACGUAGCUCCUCCGGGAGUGUUAUAGCCCGCCGCGCCAUGCCCCUGGGGGGACCGAGGACCGCGCCUUGUGCAAGGAUGCUGGCGUAAUGGCCACCGGCGACCCGUCUUGAAACACGGACC